RNAcentral lists this ribosomal RNA (253 nucleotides) under uncultured bacterium. RNAcentral describes it as "partial 16S ribosomal RNA". It matches the Rfam family "Bacterial small subunit ribosomal RNA", at positions 524 to 776 of the family's 1533-position model. The record is from RNAcentral.
UACGUAGGGUGCGAGCGUUGUCCGGAAUUACUGGGCGUAAAGAGCUCGUAGGUGGUUUGUCGCGUUGUUCGUGAAAACUCACAGCUCAACUGUGGGCGUGCGGGCGAUACGGGCAGACUGGAGUACUGCAGGGGAGACUGGAAUUCCUGGUGUAGCGGUGAAAUGCGCAGAUAUCAGGAGGAACACCGGUGGCGAAGGCGGGUCUCUGGGAAGUAACUGACGCUGAGAAGCGAAAGCGUGGGUAGCAAACAGG